This 321-nucleotide ribosomal RNA is filed under the name Dickeya dianthicola. Its description in RNAcentral is "bacterial SSU rRNA". It matches the Rfam family "Bacterial small subunit ribosomal RNA", at positions 102 to 426 of the family's 1533-position model. Lineage: Bacteria; Pseudomonadati; Pseudomonadota; Gammaproteobacteria; Enterobacterales; Pectobacteriaceae. The record is from RNAcentral.
ACGGGUGAGUAAUGUCUGGGGAUCUGCCUGAUGGAGGGGGAUAACUACUGGAAACGGUAGCUAAAACCGCAUGACGUCGCAAGACCAAAGUGGGGGACCUUCGGGCCUCACGCCAUCGGAUGAACCCAGAUGGGAUUAGCUGGUAGGUGGGGUAACGGCUCACCUAGGCGACGAUCCCUAGCUGGUCUGAGAGGAUGACCAGCCACACUGGAACUGAGACACGGUCCAGACUCCUACGGGAGGCAGCAGUGGGGAAUAUUGCACAAUGGGGGAAACCCUGAUGCAGCCAUGCCGCGUGUGUGAAGAAGGCCUUCGGGUUGU